AGUGAACGCUGGCGGUAGGCCUAACACAUGCGAGUCGAACGGCAGCACAGUAAGAGCUUGCUCUUACGGGUGGCGAGUGGCGGACGGGUGAGGAAUACAUCGGAAUCUACUUUUUCGUGGGGGAUAACGUAGGGAAACUUACGCUAAUACCGCAUACGACCUACGGGUGAAAGCAGGGGAUCUUCGGACCUUGCGCGAUUGAAUGAGCCGAUGUCGGAUUAGCUAGUUGGCGGGGUAAAGGCCCACCAAGGCGACGAUCCGUAGCUGGUCUGAGAGGAUGAUCAGCCCCCCUGGACCUGAGACCCGGCCCAGCCUCUUACGGGAGGACGCGGGGGGGAAUUUUGGACAAGGGGCGCAACCCUGACCCAGCCAUCCCGCGUGGGUGAAGAAGGCCUUCGGUUUGUAAAGCCCUUUUUUUGGGAAAAAAAAGCAGCAGGUUAAAACCCCGCUUUUCUGACGGUACCCAAAAAAUAAGCACCGGCCACCUUCGU
This 491-nucleotide ribosomal RNA is filed under the name uncultured bacterium. Its description in RNAcentral is "partial 16S ribosomal RNA". It matches the Rfam family "Bacterial small subunit ribosomal RNA", at positions 29 to 506 of the family's 1533-position model. The record is from RNAcentral.